ACUCCUACGGGAGGCAGCAGUAGGGAAUCUUCCACAAUGGACGAAAGUCUGAUGGAGCAACGCCGCGUGAGUGAAGAAGGGUUUCGGCUCGUAAAAACUCUGUUGUUAAAAGAAGAACAUAUCUGAGAGUAACUGUUCAGGUAUUGACGGUAUUUAACCAGAAAGCCACGGCUAACUACGUGCCAGCAGCCGCGGUAAUACGUAGGUGGCAAGCGUUGUCCGGAUUUAUUGGGGCGUAAAAGCGAGCGCAGGCGGUUUUUUAAAGUCUGAUGUGAAAGCCUUCGGCUCAACCGAAGAAAGUGCAUCGGAAACUGGGAAAACUUGAGUGCAGAAAGAGGACAGUGGAACUCCAUGUGUAGCGGUGAAAAUGCGUAGAUAUAUGGAAGAACACCAGUGGCGAAGGCGGCUGUCUGGUCUGUAACGUGACGCUGAGGCUCGAAAGUAUGGGUAG
RNAcentral lists this ribosomal RNA (451 nucleotides) under uncultured bacterium. RNAcentral describes it as "bacterial SSU rRNA". It matches the Rfam family "Bacterial small subunit ribosomal RNA", at positions 335 to 768 of the family's 1533-position model. The record is from RNAcentral.